This 294-nucleotide unclassified non-coding RNA is filed under the name uncultured Umbelopsis. RNAcentral describes it as "sequence contains 5.8S rRNA gene". The stretch from base 1 to 53 matches the Rfam family "5.8S ribosomal RNA", at positions 102 to 154 of the family's 154-position model. Lineage: Eukaryota; Fungi; Mucoromycota; Umbelopsidomycetes; Umbelopsidales; Umbelopsidaceae. The record is from RNAcentral.
GAACGCACAUUGCACUCCUUGGUAUUCCGAGGAGUAUGCCUGUUUCAGUAUCAUGAGCACUCUCACAACUAACCUUUGGGUGAAAUUGUGGAAUUGGAAUGCGCUGCUUUUAAUGAUCAGCCCUUCUAAAAUAUAUUUCAUGACUGUCACCUAACACAGCAGUUUGGCCUAAUAGUUUUGACAUUGAUUUGUCAAAUCUUUGGCUUACAUUUGCUUCAGGUUGUCAGUCUUGAUAAUACAGAAAACUCAUUCAAAUUUUGAUCUGAAAUCAGGUAGGGCUACCCGCUGAACUUA